RNAcentral lists this non-coding RNA (166 nucleotides) under Streptococcus pneumoniae. Lineage: Bacteria; Bacillati; Bacillota; Bacilli; Lactobacillales; Streptococcaceae. The record is from RNAcentral.
ACUAUCGUGAGGUAGCAGGGAGAGGAAGGGAUAGCGAAAUCGUGGCUCUACGAACAGGAACGUGAUAGUAAGGCGUAUAUAGCGGAUAAGGGGCCUCAAACUCUAAAGUCCAAAAAGGUAGUCGUAACCUAUAUGCGUAAAUCACGAGAGUAAUUGAAUUCGGACU